AGUGAACGCUGGCGGUGGGCCUAACACAUGCAAGUCGAACGGCAGCACAGUAAGAGCUUGCUCUUACGGGUGGCGAGUGGCGGACGGGUGAGGAAUACAUCGGAAUCUACUUUUUCGUGGGGGAUAACGUAGGGAAACUUACGCUAAUACCGCAUACGACCUACGGGUGAAAGCAGGGGAUCUUCGGACCUUGCGCGAUUGAAUGAGCCGAUGUCGGAUUAGCUAGUUGGUGGGGUAAAGGCCCACCAAGGCGACGAUCCGUAGCUGGUCUGAGAGGAUGAUCAGCCACACUGGAACUGAGACACGGUCCAGACUCCUACGGGAGGCAGCAGUGGGGAAUAUUGGACAAUGGGCGCAAGCCUGAUCCAGCCAUACCGCGUGGGUGAAGAAGGCCUUCGGGUUGUAAAGCCCUUUUGUUGGGAAAGAAAAGCAGCAGGUUAAUACCCCGCUGUUCUGACGGUACCCAAAGAAUAAGCACCGGCUAACUUCGUG
Molecule: ribosomal RNA, 492 nt
Filed under: uncultured bacterium
Lineage: Bacteria
Description: partial 16S ribosomal RNA
Rfam family: Bacterial small subunit ribosomal RNA
Source: RNAcentral